AUCCUUUGCCUCAUCUCUGCUAAUAUUUCUUCUUGUCUAAUCCUUGAUCUCUGGUCUAUCAUGAAUUCAAACAUGUCUAUCUAUGAAUUUCAUAGACCUACGGGCACACAUCUCGAACCACCAAAAUCUUCAAAGCCUAUCAUAGCAUCUAGUUUUGAGAUAGACCCCGAAUACAUAGAAUUUGUUCAAAAACAACCUUUUUCAGG
Molecule: long non-coding RNA, 206 nt
Filed under: Sorghum bicolor (sorghum)
Lineage: Eukaryota; Viridiplantae; Streptophyta; Magnoliopsida; Poales; Poaceae
Description: long non-coding RNA (SBIC_LNC008105)
Source: RNAcentral